UACGUAGGGGGCUAGCGUUGUCCGGAAUUAUUGGGCGUAAAGGGCUCGUAGGCGGUCUGUUGCGUCGGGAGUGAAAACUCAGGGCUUAACCCUGAGCCUGCUUCCGAUACGGGCAGACUAGAGGUAUGCAGGGGAGAACGGAAUUCCUGGUGUAGCGGUGAAAUGCGUAGAUAUCGGGAGGAACAUCAGUGGCGAAGGCGGCCCUCUGGUCCAGUACUGACACUCAAGUGCGAAAGCGUGGGGAGCAAACAGG
This 253-nucleotide ribosomal RNA is filed under the name uncultured bacterium. RNAcentral describes it as "partial 16S ribosomal RNA". It matches the Rfam family "Bacterial small subunit ribosomal RNA", at positions 524 to 776 of the family's 1533-position model. The record is from RNAcentral.